AAGCGAACCCGGAGAAGGAGGCGAAGCUGCUUACCUGAGCUUGGUCUUAGUCAUUCAUCAGGUAAAGCCGAUGUCAAUCAUCUCUGGCCAGCAAAUGCCCCCAAAAUCAGAGGCAGUUCCACGAACCAGAUACAGGCAAUAGUCGGUGGUCUGUGAGAGAGUUAGAUCUUUGAAAAAGGAAGUGCCGGGAGCCUGCAGAGGCAUCAGAGGGCGUUAAUACGGUUCCUUCAAUAGUUAAUUACUGGGCCCCUGCUUUACAUAAACUAGGCCAGUAAGGGAGAGCUGUGGUCAGAGAGCUGGGGACUACCGAGGUACCCACCCCUCAAGGCAGAUUCCCUGAGAGCUCUUUCCUCUCCUCCCUCUCACUUCUCUCCAUCCCCACAACCCUUGCACACAUCCAGGCUUCACAACGGUGAUGGCAUGGCGUUAUUCCACCGACCCAGAACUAAAUUCCCACAAUCCCUUUGGUCCUACCACCUGGGGCCAGUUUGGCCUGGCCAGGGCUCAGAGAAGACAGAAAGCCACAUAUACCAUCCACCCAGGGUGAGGCCCCGUGAAGAGACUCCAGCACUAGUCUCUCACCUCUUCCCUACUCCUGAAUUAUGUCCAAACCCACAUCAGGAGAGCAAGCUCAGUGCCCUAAGCAGCCCCAUGGCCCCUGGAGUCUCACCCCACCGAGUGGUGAGCACAUGGACAGCUUCAGGACUGAAGAAUAUGCACAUAGAAGAGGUACAUGUGUGUCUGCAGUUAAUAUUACUAACCUUCAACUCUCUUAUGACAUUAGUAUCAUUCCCAUUUUAUAGAUUGAAAAGUUGAGGCUCCGGGUGGCUAAGCAGCCAAAGGUCACUCAGCUAGGAAGAGGCAGAGACUGAAACAGACCCGGGAGUGGGUGACUCUAAGCAGCUGCCUCUCACAGCAGGGCCACAUUGUGCCUUGUGCCAGGCCCUGUGCUGAUGACAGAAAGCGACACUUCCUGCCACCAAGGAGCUCCCAGAGAAGAAGAGGGACAGUCAUAUAACCAAAUAAUUUACACCACAAAACGUGUGACAAAUGCCAAAAUCCCAACAUGUUGGGGCAGGCCCAAGGAUGGAGUGUGUGACCUCCUCAGGCCGGUCAGAGAGGACAGCCCAGAAGAGGACACUUGAGCUGGGCCGGGAGGGGCAGCUUUUCCGGGCUGAGGACAUAAACUUACGCUGGAACAGAUGGCUUGGCGGGGAGUCCUCCGGAGCCGGGCGCAGGGAAGACCAGGGCAGUAGGGAGGGGUGGGGGCGUCUGCACUGUGCAGGGAGGGCCCUGAACUGCCGCCCAGGGAAAGUGCGCCCCACCUCGCCGGUGCGUGACGGGGAGCCAUGCGGCCGUCUGAUCAGCAAAGUGGCCCCGUUUGUACGGAGACAGACAGCAGGAAAACCCUGCUGGCAAGGACUGUUUGGAGCCUUCAACGUGUCCCGAAGGCCGGCACAGCUGGAACCUGCGUCCCCUCCCAGGGCCAGGCUCCGCAGAGCAGAGGGAGCGGAGGGCCCUGAGAGGCGCUUGCGCAGAAAGGCGGAGGAUCACGACUCCCACCUGCUCCAGCAUCCUCCUGUGCCGAGGUCUGUCUGUCCUGGCCUUACCACUGUCCACUCCAUCCUCCAGGAGGAAAUAGGCUGGUAGGGCAGCCAGGCCCUAGCUGGAGGGUGCCGUUCCCUCACAUCCCACGGCGGGCUAUCGUCAGGAGGGACUCUGGGGAGAUCGUCCCAGAGAGGGAGGGAGGACACGUGCAGUCCUAUCGGUACACAGAGGCCAAAAGACGGUCAGUGAGACCAAGAGAGACACUCUUAGGACCCAAGACAGAGAAAGAGACCCAGAAAAGCCCGAAGGAAAAAGGCCAGAGGAGAGCUGGGCCGCCUGCGCCUGCGGCGGGGCGGGGACGGCGGCGAGAAGUGUCUUCCAGCUCCCAGCGCCAUCACCGGCCUCGGCAUCGGGCGCUGAGCAACCAGCCAGCUGGGCUAGGGUCGUCGUCAGGGGACCGGCUGAGGCACCGUGCCAAGCUCUAGCCAUUCCCCCAUCACCACCCUGCGCCCCUGCCGGGGGCGCCGGGACGGAGCUGCGGGGCGAGGAGGCGUCAGGGAUCGGAAUCAGAGGCCUGGGCUCCGAGCGAGGCUGGCCUGGGGAGGGGGACAAGUCAGGGUCUCUUCCUGUGCCUCAGGUGGCUGAACUAGAAUCCAGUCUCGUGCGUUUCCCCUCUGAGGGGGAAAGGGGCGUAAUCCUCGGCCCUGUUGAGAUGGGCGUGCAAACCACGAACUCUAUGACCCGAAAUGAACAUCCACAAGCUUCCGUGCACAUCCCGGCUUCUCGCAGUCCCAGAGCCAUGCGCAGAGCUCGGACCCAGCCCGGAAAACCCGGACGCCCACGAUCCCAGAGGGCUGCUGCUGCGCCCACGCCCGAGCCUAACCGACUGCGCCUGCUCGCCCGCCUCCCCCGGCCGCGGCUUCCCCCGAGAGUCCAGCCGGCUCCCGCCGCCCGGCCCGCCUCCGUCUCAGGAAACGAGGAUCACGCCUCGGGCUCCCGGUCCUGGGCUCGCACGCUCGCUGAGCUCCCGAGAAAGCGUGGGUGCGCUAGCCUGGGGCUGGGGGCCAGGCCGAGGCCCUGGCUGAGGCUCGGUCCCGGCUCCGAGCUGCUCCCCUUUCGCCGCCGCCGCCGCCGCCGCGGAGCUCCUGGAUGUCCCCGCCGGCUCCCGAGCUCCCCGCCGCGGGGACUCGCGGGAGGGUUGGGACUGGGACAGGGGAAAACGCGACAGGGAAACGCUUCUUCCUCGAGGUGAGCCAAGAGGCUAGCGGUGGGGUGGCGGGAGGCCGAAGGCGUCCCUCUCGGCCCCGGUUUCUCCGUCCGGUCCGCGGGAUGAUGGUCACGCUCCGUUCAGGGCGUUUAAGUGAACCCAUGGCAAGAAAGCCCUCGAAGCCACGUUGCCCCGACCGAGCUCCGGGGGUCCCCGUGCCGCGCUAAAGAGCAAAAGGAGCAAAAGAAGCCGCACGGCGCGGGCCUGGGAGCCUGGAAACCCCUUGUUCGACCGCGGAAGAACUCUAACAAACCGCUACGUCUUCGAGGGAGGCAUCCCAUCGCGGCCCACGGGUGCAAGGACUUGAAUUUUCCCCACGUCCACGCUCCGCCCUGAACACAAUGUAAAAGACGAAGAGAACGACUACGGGCCCCACUCCAUCCUCUCGACUCCCUGGAAGAGGGAUGACAGAUAGAGGAUCCCCCACUUCACAGAUGAGGAAACUGAGGCCUAAGAAGGGUAGCGGAGGGUUCGAGGCCGCUGGGUGGAUAAUGAGCCCGCUGGACUCGGAGCCCCUGCUCCAGUGCGCUGCUGCAGUGUGGGCAGGGCUGUGUGACACGGGACCCCUUUGUGGCAGUGUCUUGCUCUGAUGCUCUCUGAAGCCAUCCAGUCCGCUGACCCAGACUGACUGUCCCAGAGUAACCUAGACAGAGGUCACUAUGUUCCCGCUGCACCGGGAGUCUUGGAUCUGAUUUGCAAGAAUGGGGCCUGCAGUUUCCAUUGUCACUAGAGGAUGAACCCUGGAUAUUCGCAUCUUCGUUACUUCGGAAGAAGGAAGCUGGGAGUUUUGCAGAGCGACUGAAAAGCCCCUCUCCAGCCGUUCGAGCACCCCUCCGCUGAGGAAGGUCGGCAUGCGAACGAUGCGACUCCUUCCACCUCGGAUCGGCAGAGCGAGGACCUGGGCUCCUCGCCCCUCUCUUCCGAAGGCAGUUUGCCCAAAGCUUGGCCCCCGCCCACCGCCACGAAGAGCGCAACUAAACCCCCGCAGGCCGAGCCGCCCGCGCCUGGGCGCCUCGCUCCGCCGCGCCCCGCACCCACAGCCCAGCGGGAAGCGGCGUCUCGGCUGGAGCCUCCGGAGUCGGCACCAAGGUCCGGAAUCAGGAGGGAAUCACAAGGGGCCCCCCCGAGAUCCGCACAUGCCCUCCGGCCCCCAAUUCACAGAGGAGAAAACGGAGGCUCCGCGCGGGACAGGGAGCGGCCCGAAGUCUCCCCAGGACUGGCCCAGAGCGAACCCAGGCCAGCCGGGCUACGGCCGCAGGCGGUCUCGGCGAGGCGGGAGUCCCGCCUUCUCCGGGGGCUGGCAGGAAAGGAACUCCGAAACCAAACACCCUCGAAGCAAACGGGUCGGGUCCGCCCGCCCCUUCCCCAGGAAACGCGCCCACUGGGAGUUGGCCACCCGCGCGCGCGCGCGUACACACACACACACACCUCUCACAGCCCUCACGCCUCGCUCUGGAAGGGGCUGCUGCUGCCCCGGGAGUCUGGGGGGCCACUUGGAGCCCUCCACAACCUGCCCGAACUGGAGGAGGGGGUUAUGCGAGAGGGCAGAAGCUCAGUCUUCACCCUCUUUAUCCGUGCGCCACUCUCCAUCGCAUAGAGAGGGGUCCCGUGUCACCCAAAGAGAUGGUGGGAGGUGGGGUGCAGCCUUUCCCUAAACAUCGGCAACGGAAGGACUCUUGAGAUCCGAACCAUCCGUACAGUCGAGGAACCUGGGACCCCAAGAGGAAAAGCGGCGGCCGCGGGCACAUAGCGGGGAAGCGCAGUCCUUAGAGAGACGCAGGUGUGAGCUCCGCGAAGCGGCGAAGUCGCGGGGGGCCAAGUCACCUCCCAUAUCGGGCCUAGGAAUCGAAUGCUGAAAGAUGAGGGACUGCGUGCGGAACGGGCAGGCAGCCUUGACUGGGGUUUGAGAAUCAUCCUGAAAGAUGCUGGGAGCCAGACACCUGGAAACGUCUUCUCCCUUCCCUGUCCCACACCCCAAAAGAACCCAGCGCCCCACAGCCAAUUCCCACCCUCUCCCGACAAACAGUGAAGCGAGCCCUUCCCUUCACCUGCGGGUCCCAGCCCUCGGCAGAGGCUGGAAAAGUCCGGAAGCGCUGAGUUCGGGCGCCGAGGUCUCCCGAGACAGUCCCUGGCCUCUUGGGGCCUCAGUCUCCCCGUCGGCGCGCGGAGGAGGCCGGCCCGGGAGAUCUCCAAGUGCCCUCCUGGCUCUGACAUUGUGGGGCUCCCGCUGCGCCGCCACAGCUGCUCCUACCUGGGGAGGCGCGCCCGGGCCCAGGGGGCGGGCAGUCGGGGGGCGGGAGGGGAACGGGCACCGCCCCGAGCUUCCUGGCGCCUUUAAGGAGGAGAAGCGGGCGGAGGGAGGAGCCGGCCGGGUGUGCGCAGGGGAGCGCCUCGCCAGCGGUCUCGGCGGCUGGAGGCCAACGCUGCGGAGAGGAACGGUCGCCGGCCGCCCCACCUGGCCCGCGCCCCGACCUCGCCGCCCGCGCCUCGCCUGCGCGCCCUCCGCAGCCUGGGCCGCAGGGCCGCGGCCUAGGCGGCCCCCAGCAGAGCGUCCGACGCCUGCACCAACUGCGCGCUCCCCAGGCCUUCGGGCCGCAGCCUCCUCUGCGCGCACGACCUCGACGGUUUUCCUCGGACCAGCCGGGCACCCAGAGCCGCUGCAGUCGCCCCAGCCCGAGGACCGCCUCCGGGCCGCCUGGCACCUGCGCGCCGAGGACCUUUCAGGCCGCGACGGGGGCCUGGUCCCGGUCCCGACGCCGCUGCGGGCGCCUGGCCUCGAGCUCCUGAGCACGAGCGGAGCCGGCGGUGGGCGGGACACUGCCGAGCCUCGGUCGGCCCUGAGCCGGCGCGUAAACCGCGGGCACCCAGGCUCCAGAACGCCCCUGCCCGGGCAGCCGUGCCCUCAGUGCCCGCCCGCGAGGAACCCCUGAGCUCUCCGCACGGGGGUCCAGCUCCCGCUGUCCCCGAGAUCCCGCGUCUCGGGCCCCGCAGGUCCCAGACCCGCCCCGGCCCCUCGACAGCCGCGGCGGCGGGGACGCCCGGGGACGCGGGACGGCUGCGCCAUGACGGCCGAGAGCGGGCCGCCCGCGCCGCCGCAGCCGGAGGCGCUGGCGGCCGUGAAGGAGGAGCGCGGCGAGGCGGGGCCGGGGUCCCGGCGGAGGCGGCGGGGCGCGGCGCGGGCGGGCGGCGGCGCAAGCGCCCCCUGCAGCGCGGGAA
This 6031-nucleotide long non-coding RNA is filed under the name Equus asinus (donkey). Its description in RNAcentral is "lncRNA (ENSEASG00005038090.1)". Lineage: Eukaryota; Metazoa; Chordata; Mammalia; Perissodactyla; Equidae. The record is from RNAcentral.